RNAcentral lists this ribosomal RNA (492 nucleotides) under uncultured bacterium. RNAcentral's name for it is "partial 16S ribosomal RNA". It matches the Rfam family "Bacterial small subunit ribosomal RNA", at positions 29 to 507 of the family's 1533-position model. The record is from RNAcentral.
AGUGAACGCUGGCGGUAGGCCUAACACAUGCAAGUCGAACGGCAGCACAGUAAGAGCUUGCUCUUACGGGUGGUGAGUGGCGGACGGGUGAGGAAUACAUCGGAAUCUACUUUUUCGUGGGGGAUAACGUAGGGAAACUUACGCUAAUACCGCAUACGACCUACUGGUGAAAGCAGGGGAUCUUCGGACCUUGCGCGAUUGAAUGAGCCGAUGUCGGAUUAGCUAGUUGGCGGGGUAAAGGCCCACCAAGGCGACGAUCCGUAGCUGGUCUGAGAGGAUGAUCAGCCACACUGGAACUGAGACACGGUACAGACUCCUACGGGAGGCAGCAGUGGGGAAUAUUGGACAAUGGGCGCAAGCCUGAUCCAGCCAUACCGCGUGGGUGAAGAAGGCCUUCGGGUUGUAAAGCCCUUUUGUUGGGAAAGAAAAGAAGCAGGUUAAUACCCCGCUGUUCUGACGGUACCCAAAGAAUAAGCACCGGCUAACUUCGUG